CUGAACCGGCGAACCCCGGGCCACCAAAGUGGAACGUGCGAACUUAACUGCUGCGCCACCGGGCUGGCCCCCCAUCAUGCCUUUUUGUUAUCCAACUCUGGGUUGGAAUUUAAUAUAUUUACUCUAAUCUCCUGGAUGUCUCCGCGUCAACUGGUGUGCCCCUUCCCCCUGCACCCUUCUCCUACCCUUGAAACUCAGAAGUAUAAUAACAAUAACAAUGGCUGACACUUUAUGCACAUUUCAUCAUUUAAUCCUCCCAAGAACUGGAGGAGGUAAGUACUAUUAUCCCCUUCCACACAGUUUAGAAAACAUUAACUAAGUUCACCCAGCUAGAGAGUGGUGGCACUGAGCUUCCAGCACAGGCAGCGCAGGAAGGGGUGGGGCAGGCAGAGCUGCUCCCGGGAGGCGUCCUCGCCCCAGGACCUGGGAGCCCAGAGAGUGAAAAGCCCACUCUGAAAUGGACACAAGGGUGGGCUACAGUCCCAGAUUUCUGAAUCUCCAUGAAUAUAACGGGAUGUCCUGAGCACAGACUUGGGAACCAGGCUGCUUGGGUUCAAACUCCAGUUUAGCUGAUCACCAGCUGGGUGACUUUGGGCAAGUGUCUGUACCUCGGUUUGCUCCUCUGUAAAAUGGGCAUAAUAAUGGUACCACAUGGGGUGGCUGUGUGUAUUCAUGAGUUACACACACAGAGAUUCUCUGACGGCAUUCGCUCUUUCUCACAAAAUGCUGCUUUCUGUGCAUCCCUCCCUUAAAGCCACUUGACCCUGAGGAUUCACCCACUUUUUAAAAAUUAGUCAAUGAGUUUACCCAAUAGAGGGUUGAUUACUCAAGUAGUUAUCUCUUAAGAAAGUACAAAAGGCUGUGAAAGAGAAGAGUUGGGUCAAGGUGGAAAAAUUUCUGAAAGCCUGUAUGUGUGUGUGACCUGUUUAAACACAAAGAAGUAGGUCUGCAAGGAUCCACGGCGCACUGCUCAAGGUGCUCGCCUGCCUGGGGGAUGGCAGGGGCAGGGAGGCGAGACAAGGGCUUCUGCAUUUUACUUGUAUAGGCAUCAGCAUUUAAAAAAAAAUUAACAACAAACACGUGCUACUGUCACGAAGCAAAGUGGGUUUGCUUCUUGGUGAGCUGAAAUCAGAGCCUUCACCAGAAGUAGUUGUCACACAAAGGAAAGUUUAUUUGCCGCAAAUAGGAGACCUCGGGGAAUCAUUUCCAAAGUCGGGGCUCUCUGUGAGCACAGGACAGGAGGGGCCGUUUAUUUCAGAUGGGGAAUGAAUAUUCAAAGGAGAGAGGUGGGUAUUCGCUUGCGCAGGCUCAGUUGGAAAACAUGCUUCCACAUACAUCACGUUAUGGCAACAAGGCCUAAGCCCCUCCAAGAGGGAAGAUCUUAGCGUUAAAAAUGAGGCAAAGGUCACCUCCUACCCAUUGGGUGUGCCUCUGCCAUCCAGUUGUGGAAUAAAAUCCAUGCAUCAAGAAUUUUAAAAUAGGAAUAAAUGUGGUUGAAGGUACAUGGGGAAUCAUACUCCUACUUUUCUGUAUGUUGAAAAUUGAUGUAAAUUUUUAAAAAUUUAAAGCAGUUUGCUCUCAAGGUAGAUGACCUUAAAAGUACACAUAUAGAAAAAGUCCCGUGGCUUAUCAUCACUCACGACAAACGUGAAAGUCUGCAGAACUACAAAAUCCUAAAUGCCUAAAAAAGGUAUAGCAAUUGCUGUCUUCAAUUCAUUCCCUCUCAUACACACAACUGGCUGUAAUUUCCAGUUUUAUAAAGUAGCCGUGUAGCCAUUUGGAAGAUUCUGGUGUUAAAAAAGAAAUAGGCCCAAAAUGGAGUCAUUUGCCCCCACAAUAGCCAACCAAGACUUGAUUACAGUUUCAACCUAUCCCAGGCAUGUGAUCUUUUCAACGGUCAAUCAGAAAUUUCCUGACUAGCCCUAGUGAGGUAAUCUGCAUGAUGAAAACCCCUUCUGAUCCCUUCCCCUAAAAGAAGCCGUCCUGGCCUGAAACAAUUCUUUCUUUUCUUUUGCUAAUCACUUCCUUACCCCACCCUCCUUCUGCCUAUAAAAACUUUCCAGUUGUACAACUCCUUGGAUUAUCUCUCUACUUGCUACACAGGAUGCUGCCUGAUUCAAAUUGUUUAAUAUAGCCAAUUAGAUCUUCAAAUUUACUCGGUUGAAUUUUGUUUUUUAACAUAUUUGGUGGCAGCCGUGGGAUCAAAGGAGACUUCUGUUGACUUCGAGGACAAAGAGAAACACAGGUGUGGUGCCCUGUGAACACUUCUGAGUUUGCUGUCUUUUUUCACCAUUUCCAGGGGCGUUUUGGUUUCCUGGAUGGGCUGAAGACUUCCCUUGCUGCAAGGCUGAUGUCCUUACAGUGGCAAAGAAACUGUUAGAAAAUGUGUUUCCCACUUGGGGUCUACCUUCCAUAAUCUCUAAAAUGAUUGAGGCACCCACUUCCCUGGGGAAAUCAUACCUUAAUGAAAACCUUGGAAUGAAUUCCUUCUUAGAAUUAUCACUAUCCCUAUCACCCUAUCACCCAAUCAUUAGGCAAGGUCAAGAGAACUUGACCUCUUGAUGUGAUCCUCAAAAUUAAAAUUCCUAAACUUGCCAAAACUACUGGACUCCCUCGGCUUAAAGUAUUUCCUUUGGUCUUGCUGACUGUUCACAGUACCCACUUUGGGAGACAUAAACUCACUCCACACAAUAUAGUCUGGUAGGCCAAGUCUAUUGGUAUACAACCUGCUGCUGACCCCUUGUUGCCUCAUGCUAGUAUGACCAGUUACUGUAAGUCUCUAUGUCUUAUGUUCAAGCCUGUUAUCAACAGGGUAAAGAAGCUUUCCUGGAUCCCAAUUCAAAGGAUCCUCUUGAUCACAGUCUAGAGCCUGAUGACUAGGUAUUCUGGAAAUGUCAUCAGAGGAAGACAGCCCUUGAGCCUUGUUGGAAGAGCCUUUACCAAGUGCUCCUGACCACUGACACUGCUGCAAAACUAGAAGGCAUUGAGCCUUGGAUACACAUCUCACAGCUAAAGAAUGCUCCACCUGACAUCUGGUCCUGCACAGACGCUGGAAAUCUCUCAAUCAAAUUGACGAGGAAGAGAAAUAGCUGACAUCAAGCACUAUUCACAAUAGCCAAGACAUGGAAACCAUCCAAGUG
Equus caballus (horse) is the source of this 3140-nucleotide non-coding RNA. Lineage: Eukaryota; Metazoa; Chordata; Mammalia; Perissodactyla; Equidae. The record is from RefSeq and is a predicted model, not a curated record.